Molecule: unclassified non-coding RNA, 445 nt
Filed under: Hevea brasiliensis (rubber tree)
Lineage: Eukaryota; Viridiplantae; Streptophyta; Magnoliopsida; Malpighiales; Euphorbiaceae
Source: RNAcentral
UUAAACUAAAAAAAAAAAAAAAUCACUUAAGGAUGCACCCACUAAUUCUAAAACCCUUAAGGCACAUCUCUCAAAGUGAGAGGUGCACACAAGAUGUAUGAUGUAAAAAGCCAUUCCUCAAAACUCUCACUCUGUCCCACAAUUAAAGUGUCAAAAGAACUUAUCAGAUCUUGGACUCAGCUAUUCAUCAUUAAUUUAUAAUCUCUUAGAACCAUUUCAUUUGACUUUACAGUGUAGUUUUCUUUACUUCAUUUUUAAUUACUAUUUAAAGAUGAAAGCAAGAAAGCUAAUAAGAGAAUCACUUAAAAGAUAAGCAUUGCAUCAAGCUUCAAGAGUGCAAUAAAUGAAACUUGGAAAAUCCAUGUAAACAAGAAAUGAAUUCAACAUAAAGAGAAAAGAAGCAAUAGAAUAAAAGCAUUACCAGCAACAUCUUGACCAUCAUAAU